UGUUUGGAAACAAUCCUUGGCUGAAGCACAACAUCAGCACAAAGUGAAUUUGGUGACCGUGAAAUAAUUAAAAGUAAAAUAAUGUAGGCUAAGGCAUUUUACUUAGAGAAGUAAAAUAAUUCCCAAGAUUACUGCACUUAACUUUAUUUUCUUAUACUCAGUGUAGACAGUUCCAACUGUGUUGAUUUGCUGCCAACAGUGUUUGUGCCACUUCAGCAUUUGGAAGCCUUGCUGUUAAAUAAUCAAUAUUUAUUAUUAAAAAUGGAGAAACAUUUACUAAACUUUCCUUGGAGAUUUUCCUGACAUGCCUUUGACAUCCCUUUGUUAAUGAAAACUCUCUGGACUCUUUUCAAAAUUUUUUCAAUGUAUUUGCAGAAAGGAAGAGGACAGGAGAAGAGGCAUUUCUAGUUCCAAACUUCUCAAAAUUGACCAGAUAGAAUAAAUUGUGCAGAGCAAGUAAAAAUGUUGAAUUUAGCGUAAGAUAUUACUUCUCUUAAUAUUCUUUAACUUUCUUUUUUUUUGUGGUCAAAGGAACUGAGGACUGCUCCAAUGCCAAUGGAAGUUCAUGGGAAAAAUCCCAUUUCCUGUUUUUAACAACUGGAAGUUGCACAACAGAGGAGUUUUUAAGGGAUUGUGUAUCUACUAGAAAUCCAAAGGCUUUAGGAACUUUACUAAGAUAUGAAAUCUAAAUAAUUUUACUGACUCUCCAGUGAUCAAGAUAACAUGUAAGUCAAUCUUGCAGAACUAUCAUGAACUCUUCCAGCUAAGGCAUGAAUUUUGCUGAUUUAUAGUGUCCUGUGGCAGCUGAUGGAUUUUGAAGAAGAAAAUCCAUUAGGACAUUUUAGUUAGCUCUUGAAAGGAAAUCAGCUAUGCAGCUCAGCUGUGGGGGCAGAGUAUUGUCUUAUUGUCUUGCAAUAUAAGAUGUGACCAGAUGUGUUCUAUUCCCAUCUGUUAAAACCAGCUGGGGCAGUGUUCUUUAUCUCUUCCACAGCCCAUCCUCCCUC
Molecule: long non-coding RNA, 1004 nt
Filed under: Parus major (Great Tit)
Lineage: Eukaryota; Metazoa; Chordata; Aves; Passeriformes; Paridae
Description: lncRNA (ENSPMJG00000003537.1)
Source: RNAcentral